This is a long non-coding RNA of Panthera uncia (snow leopard), 3438 nucleotides long. RefSeq lists it as uncharacterized. The record is from RefSeq and is a predicted model, not a curated record. The transcript has 2 exons. Lineage: Eukaryota; Metazoa; Chordata; Mammalia; Carnivora; Felidae.
CCCUGCCUGCGACGUGGAGGCGGGGGCUCGGGAGUCCCUGCUCAGGGAGUUGAAGGCGGGGUUCGGGGUCCCUGCCCCAGACGCGGAGGCGGGGGCUGCCCUCUGGGCGCAGUGGCAGCUGCGGGUAACGAGCGCUUCCGGCGCGUCAGCCGCUAAAUAUAAAGUGCUGAGCGCAUCUUCUCUUUUAAUCCCUCCCCUCCCCCAAACCUGCGGUAGCUUCGUGUCCCUUAAAAUAAAUCCCAGCCCGCUACCAGCGCCUCAAAGCCCCGCCUGGCUUGGCCUGGCCCGCCCGGCUCCAGCCCGGAGGCCUCCUGGGCGUCCUCGGUGAGAGGCGGAGAGGGGGGCUCCGACUGUCCCUGCGCGGUCAGCCACUAAGAGCGCGCACGUGUGCGCUGGCUUUUUGUCCGUCUCUCCCUCUGGCCCGGCCCAUCAGAUCAGGGAUUAGUGCUGGGCCCUGGAAGAAACUUGGUGCAUGGUGACCAGUAUUUUAUAAAAAUGAAACAGAAUAAAACGGAAAAUAUCAGGGCAUCCCACAUAGUGAGAAUAUUGUUUUGCGUUGAGGCCGUUUAUAUGUGUGAAUAUUUACGUGGGUACUGGGUCAAAUGUGGGAUGUGUUUCUUACCAGAGUGCCAAACAAACGAAUGAAAGCCACUGCAGGGAACAACUUGAGCCACCCCACAGACUAGGCGUUCUGACUCCCCUGGUCUUACAGAGGAGGACUGAGAUCCAGCACAGGACAGAGGAGCUGCUGGCAGGACAGGUGCCUGCCCGUCACAGAACACUCUGGUCCCACCGGCACUCAGCCAUGGCCAGUACCAGAAUUUGAGAAAAGGGAGCAGAAGAGAUGGAAAAGUCUUCAAAAUGUAUCUGCCAAGAGCUACCUGUACAUUUUAGACCUGGUUCUUGACUCGUGGAAAGUUGCAGUGGUGAGGAGAGCAAGGACAGGACGGCCAUGGGAUUGGUGUAGCCCCACUGAGAGAGAUCUCUGGGGAUCCGGGCAUCCUGCUCCUGGAACAGAGAGAUUAUAGCUGUGCUGCCCAUCUCGUCAGUGCUGGUGAGGAGCCUGGAAGACUGUGCCCGUGGGGGCCUUGGCAGGGGCCAGGAGCCCACCGCCUGGGCCCACCCAAUGGGAAGCUGGCUGUGCCGAGGACCACCCACUGCAGACGUGAGCCGCUUACCUAAGCACCUGCUGUGUGUAUGGAGAAGAGUGAAGCGGGCCCUCAUAAGGACAGGUGUGAAUGUGUGGACGUGGGACGCCGCCCUGGGUCCCAUCACAGGCUGGCAGCGUCACACGGCCAGCGUCCUGCAAGAGGAGGGCACGUUGCCGCAGCCUAUCACUGUGACUCUGAUGUCCCCCUGAGGAAGUAUGGGCCAUGGGUAUGCUAGGUAUCACUGCUUGCUGGGAGCAAAACGUAACAGGUGAGUUGAUUCAAAGACACGUCAGUGAUGGGUGAUCUACAGAGCAAGUCAAGUCAGUGGCCUGAAGCGUGGGAGCAUGCCAGCGGGGCAGGACCUCACCCGUCUCCUGAGGCUGGCACGAGGGAGGCGGGUGCUCGCCUCUGGGGAAGCCCUGGCCCCGCUGCAGGUAGCGCCGCCCGGAGGCAGCCGAGAGUAAAGGCGGGCUGGGCGCGGAGAUCAGGGCUGGCUUUGAAGGUGCCACCUACUAGGCCUUCCCAGCAGGGAAAGGGGCUGGAGGCCCGGGGUGUUCGGUGGCCGAGGAGCCGGGAGGGAAAAGACCGGAAGGGGAUCUUGUUGUUCUUCCGGAGCCAAGAAUUCUGAGGUCUGACCUGCUCUCUGUGAAUCCUGUUGCAAUCCAUUUCCUCCUGCCCGGGGCCCUACAGGGCUGUUUUCCUUAGAGACACGAGGAGCACCAGUAGGUGAGGGCCUGAGGUUCACGCAUCUUGUUCCCCCUCUCCCCUCCCCUCCCCCUGCCCUCUCCCCUCCCCUCCCUCUCCACCCUUUCCCAGUUAAGCACUCUGGUGUGAGGGAGCUAGGGAGUGAGAAGUCCAAGAAAAACAUUAGGGCCCCGACCCCAGCAAGCCACAGCCACCUUUCCCGGCUUCCCGCUGGGCAGAGCGCUGAGCAGAGUUGGCUCCCCAAGGGGAGCUGCCCCUCAGAAGUUCAGAGGGAAACCGUUCGAGAUUCUGGAAAUAGGAGAGGGCACCAGAGGAGGCCCGAGAGGCUUCUCUCCUGAUGGCGGUCAACUCCGCUGCUGCUCCCCAAGGCUUGAAGAGUGGCGACAGUGUGGGGGGACAUGUUCCUGGGCCUCACUGCUGGAACCUGGCCCGGGGCCUCCUGGCUGUGGGCUCUCCCAGCGUCCGAGACAUCUGGACCCCACCUCAGAGAGACGAGCACUGAAUGUGCAAGGAGCUGCUCACGCGGGACUAGCGCACAGAAGAACCCAGUCAUGCCCCGUCCCGGAUCCCUGCCUGCGGGGCCCUGGCGGUGAGGGUGACAGCCUGGGUGGGGUACGGGCGGCCUCAGGACCGCCGCCGGAGCCAUCCUCAGCCACAGGACCCUGCCACCUCUUCCCUCUGCCUGGGGCCCCUCUCGGCCUUUUCCAGGGAAGAAGAGACAUCCAGGCCAAGAGGGGCCCGGAGGGACAGCCUCCCGGCAGGUGAGGGGGUGGUUGGGGGUGGCCUGCUGAGGACAGAGCUGGACAGCAAAGUGGAGAUGGCCUGGGGGUGGCUCCUGGUUCCCCCUCCCCUGCUAGUUGGUGGGGGCCCCUGAUGGUGCCACCCUGCCCCCCAUCAGCCUGAGAGCCCUUGCACAGCCGGCCUGGCUCGAGGGGAGCGUGCCAUUGUUGUCUGUCAGGCUCAGCUUACAGGGGCCGUGAGAGCGGCCAGCACGGCGAGUCGGUCUGGGCCGCCUGCCGGCCACCUGGACCUUGUCCCCUGACAGUUCCCGAGGGAAGAGGGAAAGGACGACCAAGUGACCAAGGCCACAGCUGAGGGUGAGGAGAGGGGAUGUGACGAGCAGGGAAGGGGAGUGUAUGGCCCCGUGCCCCUAAAAGAUGGCUCUGAGGACCCAGCGACGGUGUGUCUGCUCACCAGUAGUUGUGCCCCAGAACGCUUUCGCAGUGAAACCGGAAACCCCCGGGCCUGCUGGCAGCAGAUUGGACCUUUGAUGGCAGCGUGUGCCCUGCUGGAAGAUUCUGGGGCACUGAGUGUGAGUGGAACUCGGCUGCAGGGACAGGGUGGCAAGAGAAAGAGACGGAAAACGAUGGCCUGACCCCCUGCACGUAGGCUCACAGGGAAGCACGCCCGCGCUGUUACGGUGGCGGUCACUGGGAGCCUAAGGGCUCGAAGGAGCCCGCGUGGCUUUGGGAGCCAGCCAUGCAUGGGUACUGGUUACACAGGUGCAUUACAUUUGUGGAUAUCCGUGGAGCUGAACACACGUGACCUGAGCACUUUUGUGCGCAUGUCUAUCACACUUGGA